CCUACGGGCGGCAGCAGUGAGGAAUAUUGGUCAAUGGACGAGAGUCUGAACCAGCCAAGUAGCGUGAAGGAUGACUGCCCUAUGGGUUGUAAACUUCUUUUAUAUGGGAAUAAAACGUUCCACGUGUGGGAUUUUGUAUGUACCUUAUGAAUAAGGAUCGGCUAACUCCGUGCCAGCAGCCGCGGUAAUACGGAGGAUCCGAGCGUUAUCCGGAUUUAUUGGGUUUAAAGGGAGCGUAGGUGGGUUGUUAAGUCAGUUGUGAAAGUUUGCGGCUCAACCGUAAAAUUGCAAUUGAAACUGGCAGUCUUGAGUACAGUAGAGGUAGGCGGAAUUCGUGGUGUAGCGGUGAAAUGCUUAGAUAUCACGAAGAACUCCGAUUGCGAAGGCAGUUCACUGGACUGCAACUGACACUGAGGCUCGAAAGUGUGGGUAUCAAACAGGAUUAGAUACCCGAGUAGUC
This 460-nucleotide ribosomal RNA is filed under the name uncultured bacterium. RNAcentral's name for it is "partial 16S ribosomal RNA". It matches the Rfam family "Bacterial small subunit ribosomal RNA", at positions 338 to 795 of the family's 1533-position model. The record is from RNAcentral.